Molecule: long non-coding RNA, 2325 nt
Organism: Oncorhynchus keta (chum salmon)
Lineage: Eukaryota; Metazoa; Chordata; Actinopteri; Salmoniformes; Salmonidae
Exons: 2
Source: RefSeq, a predicted model, not a curated record
AGUGUUUGCAGCCAAGCAGCUGCUUCACGUGUAUGUUUCCUCUUAUCCUGUUCUGUUUCAAAACACAUGUUGAUCUGUAAACAAAGGUACCGUAUUGUAGUUUGAACUGUGUAGCUAGCUACAUGUUCGUCUAGACUCUAGCCUAUGAAGGUGCAGUGGUCCAGUAAUAUGCAUAAUAUCUGGCUACGGCUUGGAAAUCAAGGACUUCAGGUGUUCGACACAGAGUUGAGUGCCGACACAAUGGAGUACCCCAUUCCACAACAUACUGGCAUGUGGAACAUCUGUACAGAAGGGACCAGAUGCGGUAAAACCGUAGAUAGGCUGGACAAUAGAACGAGUCACAAUCCACCCAAGGCUGAAAACGGACAAAUAACGUUGGUUAAGAUGAAACACAAGCGCGAGCCCAUAGCACAUGAAUGGAAUCGAACUUCCGCAGAGCCUCUUCUGACUGGAGUGAUGCUUAGAUUUCUAUUUCGCAUAAAUGGUACACAUUUUUUUUAGUCCAUUUUUACUUUCCCACCACAAUGUGUUCUUCGGGACGAAACUGAAAAAAAAAAAACUGGUGUAGAAAGUAAACAUCUUCACCUCGAUGUUGUCAACUGUGCUUAUGUCCGUGUAAUGAGAACUUCUGACUAUUUCUGGUCUAUGACAACCGAGCUCACUGCCCAGACUUACAUAAUUACAAAUAGGAGACUCAUCUGAUUGAAAUAGUGUCCGACUUGAAACAAAUCUAAAUAUACACAUUGUGAGAUAUUUGGGGAAAUAGACAGGCAUGCCACUCCAUAGGAAAACAAUGGGUUGAGCUCAGCAUUAAAAGGGUAAAACGUGUUUUGGGGCUACCAUUUGAUGACAACUGAGCUCGCUGCCCACCCUUACAUAAUUAGAAAGAGGAGAUUCUCAUGAUUAAAAUGGUUUCCGACUUGAAUAAAAUCUAAAUAUACACAUUGCUAAACAGACAUACCUAUAUUUCCACUAUAGGAAACAAUAGAAUGACCUCAGAGUACCAUGAGUCAUUUUUUGCAGUUGUUUACAUUUGAACUCUGCAGCAAUGUGGGCGGGUCUUAUUCCCAACAACAGGGAAGCAGGCAUUGUGACGUAGAACAUUUGGCAGGGAAUAGAACGUUCAGAAGGUGAGUUUGUGCCAAGGUGCUCAAUAGAACUAAUAGGAGCUGGCAGGGUGAAAAAUGUCCUUAAAAUAAGGCCUGGGUUUUUUUGUGAUUACUUCAAAACUACGACAAGCAAAUAUGAAAUAUGAAGUAGUUUUUAUCAGAAAAAAGCAUUAUUAAAAAUGUCAUGGGUCCAGCCUUCUGUAGACCAGGGCUCUCCAACCCUGUUCCUGGGGAGCUGUAGGUUUUCACUCCAACCAAAGUUGUAACUAACCUGAUUCAUCAUCCAUCCAGCUAAUUAUUAUAAUCAAUUACGCUCUACAGGGGUUUUUCCAGAAAGAUAGUUUAACCAAUUCAGGAUUCCCUGAACAUAUCUGUCUUUCCUUACCCAGAUGAGGGAGUCUAGGAUUUCUUGGUUCCAGAUUGGCUGCUUCUCGUUUAAGUAAUUGGGCUAACCAAGCGCAUAUUGGUUGAUCUGACAACUGGCGCAUGUAUGCAACGUUCAAAAAGGUCCUUGUGUCAAUGACAGAAAAAAUGUCAGAUAUUGAGUCAAAAGACUAGAAUCCACAACAAGAAAUAAUUUUGACAAUGAAUAUGUUAACAUAUUUACCCCCCAAAAAGUAAUACAGCAGCAAAAGCCAGAGAGGUAGCCUGGCAGAACAUUGCAAACAGAAUAAAUGUUUAAGUGAAGUGGCAGGAUUCCAAUAUCAAAUAGACCUAGCAUACACACAUGGGUGAUUUAUUAAUCAUUCUUUCACUUUUUAUAGAGCAUGUUUAUUACAAAUCUGGUGUCACAGUUGCAAUGGUAGACACAUUCCAAAGCCUAUGUAGGAUGAGUAAUAAUAAUUGAUUGAAUUCAUAGACCGCUUUUCAUGACAACAUGGGCAACAAUGUGUUCUAUGUUUAGUUUUAACACCAAUGACCAUUGGAAAAUCUGCAGGAUGGAUUAGGCUAUUUAUAAUUUUUAUCAUGUUGCCUAGUCUUAUUAAUGAAUUAGUAAAACAUUCACCACAACUUACUGUACCUGUAGUUCUGUAAACAUCCUCCUUGAUUAUAUGACAGGUUGAGGGCCAGGAGAUGUGGACAGCGAGUAACUUGAAGCUCUCAACCCGCUUCACUACAGCCCUGUCGAUAUGAAUGGGGGUGUACUUGGCCCAAUUUUUCAGUUUUUGAUUUGUUAAAAAAGUUUGAAAUAUCCAAUAAAUGUCGUUUCACUUCA